GCCAUCUUAGCUCAGUUGGGUAGAGCGCCUGACUUGUAAUCAUGAGGUCCCCGGUUCAACUCCGGGAGAUGGCU
Molecule: transfer RNA, 74 nt
Filed under: Treponema sp.
Lineage: Bacteria; Pseudomonadati; Spirochaetota; Spirochaetia; Treponematales; Treponemataceae
Description: tRNA-Thr
Rfam family: tRNA
About the family: Transfer RNA (tRNA) molecules are approximately 80 nucleotides in length. Their secondary structure includes four short double-helical elements and three loops (D, anti-codon, and T loops).
Source: RNAcentral